This 2411-nucleotide long non-coding RNA is filed under the name Cricetulus griseus (Chinese hamster). RNAcentral describes it as "lncRNA (ENSCGRG00015029161.1)". The record is from RNAcentral. Lineage: Eukaryota; Metazoa; Chordata; Mammalia; Rodentia; Cricetidae.
AUGUUUUUAAAUGUCUUUUUAUUAAUGUUUGUACUUAAAGAGCUUCAAUUUAGAAUCAUUUUUAAGCAAAGCCUGACAAUGUAAAGUUCUUGUUUUAUAAAAGAUGCUAAUCUAUUAUAAGAUGUUACAGUUUAUGUUUUCAGAAAUUAAGUUUAGGGUGUUGGUGGUACACGCCUUUAAUCCCACCACUCGGAGGCAGAGGCGGGUGGAUCUUUGUGAGUUCAAGGCCAGCCUGGUCGGUGGAGCCUAUUCUAGGACAGGCUCCAAAGCCACAGAAAAACCCUGUCUCAGAAAGAAGUUAAGUUUAAACAAAGCAGAUAAAAUGUGUACAUGUAGCUACUGUUUAAGGACUAUAAGGAAACUCUAUGCACUUUUAAAUUCAGCUGUGCUAAGUUUCAAAUAUUUUACUAAGUUAAAACCAGUUACAGUCAGGCUGAAAAUUAAUUACAGAAAUAAGACCUUACCUAGCCACCUGUAUGUUUCUUGUGUGCUUAAGGCAAGUAACUAAAACAGACAGACAGACCUCUAAUGCUUCAGAGACCUGCAGAAUUUGACAUUUAAAUUGUUAUCUUUAAAGUUUAUAAUAUCAGACAGACUGCCAGAUCCUGACAGUGACUCAAAGUCUCCAAAGAAGAUUAUGAGGCACCCCAGUUCCUGCACCUGGACCAGUGAGCGAGAUGCUCAGAUGUGAUACCUGCCACCUGCCAGGACCUGGCCAAGACUGUGGACAAAGCCGCUGGACACUGGAAAAUUGAUUGCACCCCCUUUGCCUAGACAAAACAAGGUUUCUGCUUCUGGCACACAUCUGAGUAUCAGUUGCUGACUACAGGCUGUUCUAAGUAGACUGAGAGCCCUGGACUUGCUGUGGAUGUGAACCAGUCCAGCUGAUAUGGACACCCUCUGUCUCUGCAACAGAGUCUGCCAACAGCCCCUGAUGGAUUCCCCAUUGCCUAAAUUCCUUUUUUUGCUUUUGACUAGCAUUUCAACCUUCUGGGGUCCCUAACUUCGUCCCAAAGUCAGCAGGAAAUAGCACGGGAAAGAAUUCGCCACCCAUUUUUCCCUGGUUAAAAUGCUAAGUCAGAAGGGACUACCUUGUAUGGGGGCGCUAGAGAGACAACAAUUCCAUAAUUGGAAUUUCAAAAAAAAAAAUGGGGGAAUGAAGGGACCAGCCCCCCAUUUCGGCAGCCAUGACAGUAACACUUGCUCGCUAUGACCUUGCCUUGGUCACUAAGAGGUCAGAUGCCUGCCUCGUGGCAAGGAGCCAAUCAGAAGUUAACUGGUGGUGCUAUGCUUUAUGGCUCUGGGUGUACUUUAUGGACAAGUGCACAGCAAUGACUCGCAGGGCAUAGCAACCACCCUGGGAGGGCCUAUGGGCCAUAACAACCAGUUGGCCAAUCAACACAGGGCAAGCCCUCCAAGCCUGGAGGCACACCAAUCCUGAGUCUGUGCAUACCCCUAGACACUCCCCUUACGCUGCCCUACAAGAUCGCUCAGGAGCCAGUUCGAGGUGUCUUUGCUAGCCAUCCGCCAUGGCGGGUAAGUGAAAGACCCGAGCUAACAUGGGGUUAGCGCGAUAAAAAAACAAUAGAGCCUCAUGCAGUUUGCAUCAAAAAAAGAAAAAUAUCUAUUCUCAAUACAAGAACAAAAUAACUUAUUAAAAGACUGAAAAUUCACCAAGUUUAUCUUCAGAAUACUAUGUGAGGAGUUAGUUAGGAGGAUUGCAAUGCACUGCACAAAAUACUAGAAUAACUAAUUAUGUAAAUGAUGAAAAGGGGGGAAAAGAGAACUUGAAUGUAUAACUCUCACUUGUCAAAAGCAGUACCAGAGUCAAUUUCACAUCUCCAUUCCUGGGGUUCAGCAUGGGUGUCACCAUUGCAUGCAUAACUGAAACAAUUGUAUCCCUAAAUUAGGAGCUGUUUGAGGAAGGAAAGAAAUAAAUAAUUGCAAGAGUCCUGUGGUGUAAAAUUGCUAGGAAGAGGUGGGGAGCCACAAGUGGGUAGAACUUUGCAAGUCUUCUUAGUGGAGGUGCCCCUUAGUACAGUACCCCCAGGGCAGACAUAACAACCCAAAAUGGUACCCAGGGCAGGAGAGUCAACACUCCUCCCUCAGUGAAGAUCACUAACUCAUUGAAAUAGGUGUCUAAGCAGGACAACUUCAAGGGCUUAUUGAGAUCAUAGGACAGGUGAGGUAUGGAUGGGACAGGAUGGAAUAUGCAACAGGCAUGCACACAAGAAGUGAAUCAACCCAGCCACACACAGCUCCUCCCUCAUUAUAAUGGUGAAGUAUGGUGGGUGGAAGAUGGCCACAUACCUGCUGUCAUAAGGCCAUCACUCCAAGAAGCAAAUUGCCAACAUAUACAAAAAGUAAGAAAAAGUACAUUGGGGAAGCACCCCUCAUAAGGAACACUUAGG